RNAcentral lists this transfer RNA (71 nucleotides) under Sandaracinus sp. RNAcentral's name for it is "tRNA-Gln". It matches the Rfam family "tRNA". Rfam says of the family: Transfer RNA (tRNA) molecules are approximately 80 nucleotides in length. Lineage: Bacteria; Pseudomonadati; Myxococcota; Polyangiales; Sandaracinaceae. The record is from RNAcentral. RNAcentral also lists the same sequence under 1 other name.
UCCGGGAUCGUCCAACGGCAGGACGCCUGGCUCUGGACCAGGCAAUCGGGGUUCGAGUCCCUGUCCCGGAA